GACCCUGGCCCGGUGAAAAAUUUUAACGGCCGCGGUACUCUGACCGUGCAAAGGUAGCAUAAUCACUUGCCUUAUAAUUGAAGGCUAGUAUGAAUGGUUUGACGAAAGCGUAUCUGUCUCUUUUCUAUUUUGUAAAAAUUAACCUCCAGGUGAAGAGGCCUGCUUAUAAUUGAAGGACGAGAAGACCCUGUCGAGCUUUAAGAAAAAAAGGAAAAUUUUAUACUUGUAAAUAUAAAACCUUUUCUAUCUUUUGGUUGGGGCGACUAGGGAACAAAAGAAGCUUCCCUUAACUAUUAAACCUUUUUGUUAGGAUCCAGUACUUUCUGAUUAAAAGAAUUAGUUACCGCAGGGAUAACAGCAUAAUCCCUUUUGAGAGACCUAAUCGAAAAAGGGGGUUGUGACCUCGAUGUUGGACUAGGAUAUCCUAAAGGUGCUUAAGCCUUUAAUGGUUGGUCUGUUCGACCAUAA
This 468-nucleotide ribosomal RNA is filed under the name Clypeomorus batillariaeformis. RNAcentral describes it as "partial 16S ribosomal RNA". It matches the Rfam family "Bacterial large subunit ribosomal RNA", at positions 1854 to 2590 of the family's 2925-position model. Lineage: Eukaryota; Metazoa; Mollusca; Gastropoda; Cerithiidae. The record is from RNAcentral.